ACAUAGGGUGCUAGCGUUGCUCGGAAUUAUUGGGCGUAAAGGAUGCGUAGGAGGAUUUGUAAGUUAGAAGUGUAAUUCCUGAGCUUAACUCAGGAUCUGCUUUUAAUACUACUUAUCUAGAGGAAGAUAGAGGAUAGCGGAAUUCUUAGUGGAGGGGUGAUAUCCAUCGAUAUUAAGAGGAACACCGAAAGCGAAAGCAGCUAUCUGGGUCUUUCCUGACUCUGAGGCAUGAAAGCGUGGGGAGCAAACAGG
Molecule: ribosomal RNA, 252 nt
Filed under: uncultured bacterium
Lineage: Bacteria
Description: partial 16S ribosomal RNA
Rfam family: Bacterial small subunit ribosomal RNA
Source: RNAcentral